AAGCUGCGAUAAGUAAUGCGAAUUGCAGAACUCAGCGAGUCAUCGAGUCUUCGAACGCACAUUGCGCCCCCUGGCAUCCCCGGGGGCACGCCUGUCCGAGCGUCGUCGACAUCCCCUCAGGGUGCCCCAUCGCUGGGUGCCCUGGCCUUGGGCCCCGCCCCCGUGCGGGCGGGCCCGCAACCCCCGACCGGUCCUCCCCGGAGCCCCGAGCGCAGCGGCAUCCCCCAUGCUCGUGGAGGCCCCCGGGUUCGAAGGAGCGGUGUCCCUCGUCGUAGCGUUGACCUCGGAUCAGGCGGGGCUACCCGCUGAACUUAAGC
This 317-nucleotide unclassified non-coding RNA is filed under the name plant metagenome. RNAcentral describes it as "partial contains 5.8S ribosomal RNA, internal transcribed spacer 2, and large subunit ribosomal RNA". The stretch from base 1 to 105 matches the Rfam family "5.8S ribosomal RNA", at positions 50 to 154 of the family's 154-position model. The record is from RNAcentral.